AUGAACGCUGGCGGCGUGCCUAAUACAUGCAGGUCGAGCGAACGGACGAGAAGCUUGCUUCUCUGAUGUUAGCGGCGGACGGGUGAGUAACACGUGGAUAACCUACCUAUAAGACUGGGAUAACUUCGGGAAACCGGAGCUAAUACCGGAUAAUAUUUUGAACCGCAUGGUUCAAAAGUGAAAGACGGUCUUGCUGUCACUUAUAGAUGGAUCCGCGCUGCAUUAGCUAGUUGGUAAGGUAACGGCUUACCAAGGCAACGAUGCAUAGCCGACCUGAGAGGGUGAUCGGCCACACUGGAACUGAGACACGGUCCAGACUCCUACGGGAGGCAGCAGUAGGGAAUCUUCCGCAAUGGGCGAAAGCCUGACGGAGCAACGCCGCGUGAGUGAUGAAGGUCUUCGGAUCGUAAAACUCUGUUAUUAGGGAAGAACAUAUGUGUAAGUAACUGUGCACAUCUUGACGGUACCUAAUCAGAAAGCCACGGCUAACUACGUG
Molecule: ribosomal RNA, 496 nt
Filed under: uncultured bacterium
Lineage: Bacteria
Description: partial 16S ribosomal RNA
Rfam family: Bacterial small subunit ribosomal RNA
Source: RNAcentral